Molecule: long non-coding RNA, 1568 nt
Organism: Oncorhynchus tshawytscha (Chinook salmon)
Lineage: Eukaryota; Metazoa; Chordata; Actinopteri; Salmoniformes; Salmonidae
Source: Ensembl
AAUAAUCAUAAUCUUUUCCUCAAAGAAGUUCAUGAAUUUAUCACUGCUAAAGUGAAAGUCAUCCUCUCUUGGGGAAUGCUGCUUUUUAGUUAGCUUUGCGACAGUAUCAAAAAGGAAUUUCGGAUUGUUCUUAUUUUCCUCAAUUAAGUUAAAAAAAAUAGGAUGAUUGAGCAGUAGUAAGGGCUCUACGGUACUGCACGGUACUGUCUUUCCAAGCUAGUCGGAAGACUUCCAGUUUGGUGUGGCGCCAUUUCCGUUCCAAUUUUCUGGAAGCUUGCUUCAGAGCUCGGGUAUUUUCUGUGUACCAGGGAGCUAGUUUCUUAUGAGAAAUGUUUUUAGUUUUUAGGGGUGCAACUGCAUCUAGGGUAUUGCGCAAGGUUAAAUUGAGUUCCUCAGUUAGGUGGUUAACUGAUUUAUGUCCUCUGGCGUCCUUGGGUAGGCAGAGGGAAUCUGGAAGGACAUCAAGGAAUCUUUGUGUUGUCUGUGAAUUUAUAGCACGACUUUUGAUGUUCCUUGGUUGGGGUCUGAGCAGAUUAUUUGUUGCAAUUGCAAACGUAAUAAAAUAGUGGUAUAUACACAAUGUAAUAUCUUGGCUAUAUCCACAAGAUAAUAACGUGGCUAUAUACACAAGGUAAUAACGUGGCUAUAUACACAAGGUAAUAUCUUGGCUAUAUACACAAGGUAAAAUCUUGGCUAUAUACGCCGUAAUAACUUGGCUAUAUACACAAGGUAAUAUCUUGGCUAUAUACACAAUGUAAUAUCUUGGCUAUAUACACAAUGUAAUAUCUUGGCUAUAUACACAAUGUAAUAUCUUGGCUAUAUACACAAGAGAAUAUCUUGGCUGUAUACACAAGGUAAUAUCUUGGCUGUAUACACAAUGUAAUAUCUUGGCUAUAUACACAAUAGAAUAUCUUGGCUGUAUACACAAGGUAAUAUCUUGGCUAUAUACACAAUGUAAUAUCUUGGCUAUAUACACAAUGUAAUAUCUUGGCUAUAUACACAAUGUAAUAUCUUGGCUAUAUACACAAGAGAAUAUCUUGGCUAUAUACACAAGGUAAUAUCUUGGCUAUAUACACAAGGUAAUAACGUGGCUAUAUACACAAGGUAAUAUCUUGGCUAUAUACGCCGUAAUAACUUGGCUAUAUACACAAGAUAAUAUCUUGGCUCUAUACGCCGUAAUAAUUUGGCUAUAUACACAAGAUAAUAUCUUGGCUAUAUACACAAGGUAAUAACUUGGCUAUAUACGCCGUAAUAACUUGGCUAUAUACACAAGAUAAUAUCUUGGCUAUAUGCAAUGUAAUAUCUCUGCUAUACACACACACCAUGAUAGAUCCUUAGUGACGUGGACACCGAGGAACUUGAAGCUGUCGACCCGCUCCACUACAGCCCCGUCGAUGUGGAUGGGGGUGCGCUCAGACAUCCGUGUCGUGCAGUCCAUGCUCAGCUCUGUCUUGCUGACGUUGAAGGUUGUUUGCUGGAACCAUUUGGAGUUUAAUUUGCUUGUGUUUCAUAUAAUUUUUUUUGCCCAAUACAAAUGAAUGGUAAAUAAUAUAUUGUGUCAUUUUUGG